GCCUGGAUAGCUCAGUUGGUUAGAGCGUGGUGCUAAUAACACCAAGGUUGCAGGUUCGAUUCCUGUAUGGGAUG
This is a non-coding RNA of Podarcis lilfordi (Lilford's wall lizard), 74 nucleotides long. The record is from the annotation of a GenBank genome assembly. NCBI's taxonomy places the organism in Eukaryota, Metazoa, Chordata, Lepidosauria, Squamata, Lacertidae.